Molecule: non-coding RNA, 68 nt
Organism: Myotis lucifugus (little brown bat)
Lineage: Eukaryota; Metazoa; Chordata; Mammalia; Chiroptera; Vespertilionidae
Source: Rfam
GGCAGUUCUCGGGUGACACACCCUGGCUCCCUCCUCUCUGGUUCCAGGUGCAUCACCUGAGAACCGCA